UACGGAGGGUGCAAGCGUUACUCGGAAUUACUGGGCGUAAAGCGUGCGUAGGUGGUUUGUUAAGUCUGUCGUGAAAGCCCUGGGCUCAACCUGGGAACUGCGAUGGAAACUGGCUAACUAGAAUGUGGUAGAGGGUAGCGGAAUUCCUAGUGUAGCAGUGAAAUGCGUAGAUAUCAGGAGGAACAUCCAUGGCGAAGGCAGCUACCUGGGCCAACAUUGACACUGAGGCACGAAAGCGUGGGGAGCAAACAGG
RNAcentral lists this ribosomal RNA (253 nucleotides) under uncultured Stenotrophomonas sp. RNAcentral's name for it is "partial 16S ribosomal RNA". It matches the Rfam family "Bacterial small subunit ribosomal RNA", at positions 524 to 776 of the family's 1533-position model. Lineage: Bacteria; Pseudomonadati; Pseudomonadota; Gammaproteobacteria; Lysobacterales; Lysobacteraceae. The record is from RNAcentral.